CCGGGAUAAAAAAAUCCACGCGACCACAGGGAGAACAUGCAAACUCCAAAUAUAUAGGCGUCAGGGUCGGGAUCGAACUCCACGACCUCCUGUAUACCAGACGAGGUAGUUAACAUCUCGCCAGCGUCUAACAAAGAACAUGCCGAUGGAUAUUUCGUUGUGCACAAGCACAAUUAACAAAGAUACGCAACACACUUGUCAACAAUACUUCCUUAAAAACACUAAAUCUAUAGAGUGGUCCAAAAGUCAGGACACAGGGUUAUUUCAUUUAUUUUAACACUGGCAAUCAAACAUUGUCAUUGUUUCUUCAUUCUAUUAUUAUUAUCAUCUAUUGUUCUUCUUCCUGUGGGGUCACUUCAAAUCCGUCGUUUACAAAAUAUACCCAAAAACCCCAGAAUUAAUUGAAACAAAAAGGAUUGAUCAAUGUUCGAAGAUAAUCUUUUUGAAAAAGUCCGAAAUACAUUUCAAACGAUAAUUCAUGCACUCAUUAAUCUUAAUGGAAGUCAGUUUGAACAUUCGUUAAAAAAAUAACCCGAUAUUUGUUAAAAUAAAUACAAUGACACUGUGUCCUGACAUUAGGGCCACAUAUACCGUACCAAAUUACAUUCCCGCAUCACCUGCAUGAUAAUGACUUGUAUUGUACUCCCCUCAUGUCAGUCCACUGCUGGAUGAGGGGCUCCCCAUGCCAUACAGGCUGUGGGGACUAUUUUGACCGUACGUCACCACACUGAUCACUACAGUAUAGGUUGGUAAAGGCAGGGAGCAUACAUGAGUACAGUAUAACAAUGGAUAUUUACGCACUACACCUUGGCUUCUCAGCACUAUCCAGGCCCAAACUUUGCUUGGCUUCUGAAAACUGACGAGAUUGGGGUGCAUUCUGGGAGAUUCGGUCACAGUCGUAAGUUAUUUUAAUUACUGAAAUUAAAACACUUAAUUGUUCAGUGUGGUGCAGUAAUGAACAAAUACACGGUGUACAAUCUCCGCAAAUAAAUCAUGGGAGGAGAUAUUUGUUUACAUAAAACAUAUAUAACUGCCAAGUUGAAACUUUUUUUAAGUAUUCGUUGAAAUUUUACAUUUUUAAUAAGAGGCCUUUUUUGUACUAUUCGUUAAAGGUACAUGUUACUUUGUUAUGUUUACAUUCGCCUUAAAAAAAUAAUUGUAGAACAUGAUAUACGUAUAGGCUACGGACUGUAUCAUCAUUCCCAACGUUUGCUAAACCAAUGCAGUUUUGUACGAGGGCUAUGUAAUCUCUUACCAUUGAAACAGCUGUCAUUUUAGUGUUAAUACAAAAUAAAUCAUUACUACACAACGGCCUUUUGUGUUGCCUCUAAAGUGCACUUUGGUGAGAAAACACUGAAAACACACACACAUUUUUCAAGACCACGGUAUGUUCAAUGGAGGGGAGCCCGUGUUUGACUAGCUGUGUUUAUUCUGUAAGUGUAUGUAGGCAAAGUCAGCCUAAAGCCUACUUAGAAUUUUAAUAAAUCACAUUCUCCAGGUUUUGUGAAGCAAACGCAACCAUUACAAUUUACGAACGUGUGCCUACUGUAUGUGAAAAUAUGUCGAGUACUUGACACUUUUUAACUUGUGCAGUCACUCAUAGGCUGUACGGAUUCUUAAGUUGCAUUUUAACAUCAAUUGUAGUUGUCAGAUAGGCAAAAACACACACUUGUCUUAGUGUUCAAAAAGGCGCAUUUUAAUAUAUUUAGUUUUACACUUGUAAACCGUCUGAAUGAUUAAAUGUUACAUUGAUCAAAAUAAGCUGAUAACCAAUAUCUCCAGCAAUAAUCACAUCACGAUUGCUGAUUUGAAAACAACAGUAGCUGGUUAACACAUUAAAAAAAAAUAACGCCACAUUUGUAGGGGGCACACGUGACGUUGCCUCCAUAGUUGAACAACAAAAAAGAAUACUUCAUUGUGAAAUGGUAAUCUAGUGGUUUGUCCAAUGAAAGGAAGAAGACCUCACAGAGAAUGACAUUCGAGAUUGGUGCCAGACAUAUGUGGCACUGCUUGAGCAUUUUGGCACAAAGACAGAGGCAAGUAGAGACAAGUGACGAAAUGUGCGGUGGACAUGAGUGAUGUUGGACACCGCGUUCGCACGUCGCAAGUAUUGUUGCUUAUCUCGCCCAAAUACAGGGCGAAGCAUUUAUAUUACACGCUUUCUUCUCAGCACGUGGGGUGAAUAUUGUGAAAGCGAUAAGCUUCGUACAUUACAGAGGAGACAUUGGUAAACGCGUAUCGUUCAUGCAUUGGGUGGGGGACAAGUGGAGGCUUAGAAAUUAAUGAUGUCUCACUUUUCACUACUUGUUUUAUUGGGUUAUCUGCACAUGGACCACCCUGCAGACUCACUGAAGUUACUUACAGUGACCUGUAGGUGACGAGGCAUGUACAGGGUCCUCCACAUGUCUCGUAACCCCAAAAUUAAUUGACCCCGAACAUUUAUUUUCCUUUUUGCAUAUUCAUUAUUUGUUUUAAAUAAACCUUACUUUAAACAAAAAAAAUACGUUUUAGAGAAUUAAAUGGGAGUCACGAGACAUCCCGACCACCCUGAAGAAAGGAAAACAUUGACACAGGCACUGUAGCAGUGAAAUGAUGAAAGUGGCAUCCAGCGGUGUGGGGGUGGCACAGCACAGGAGUGAAAAGACACACACACAACGCACACGCCUAGUUGUGAGCUAAGGUUCAAGGGACUUAAGCAAAUAUGUGUUGUGACUGGAGCUCUCCUACAUACAAACUGAGAAAAAAAAUCAACAGCAAAUUCCAGUAGCGUUGGGCAGUGAAGAGAGUGGCGCACUGGGGGAUGGGUGAGAAUGAUUACUCAGUGGCUAGCAGCAAGGGCCAUUGCGCCCUGACAUUGCUCCAGAGAGAGUGUGUGUGUGUGACAAAGCCAGCAGGACAGCAGCUGCUCGGGGCAAGGAAGGAAAGGAUUGCCCAUUUAGGGCCAAAAAACGCUGGAGCAGUCUUGGACCCCCUCCUCAAUUUUGGAAAAGAUGACGACUCUGCCCAGCGAUGUGGAAAGGGGCGCAGAAGACGAUGGCUACGGGCUGCCACUCAACGGCUACGAGCGGAUGAUGGACGGGAGACUGAGGUGCAAAUUCUGCGACUACACGUGCAAGGACAUCAGGCGUCUGGAGGAGCACAUGAGGACACACACAGG
Petromyzon marinus (sea lamprey) is the source of this 3157-nucleotide non-coding RNA. The record is from RefSeq and is a predicted model, not a curated record. Lineage: Eukaryota; Metazoa; Chordata; Hyperoartia; Petromyzontiformes; Petromyzontidae.